Drosophila ficusphila is the source of this 554-nucleotide long non-coding RNA. RefSeq lists it as uncharacterized. The transcript has 2 exons. Lineage: Eukaryota; Metazoa; Arthropoda; Insecta; Diptera; Drosophilidae. The record is from RefSeq and is a predicted model, not a curated record.
UCAGUAUUUGAUUGAAAAAACUUUUUUUUUGUAAAUAUGGAGUGGAUCUUGGUUUUUAUUAUUGGCUGUCUCGUCGGAUAUUUCAUAUCGAAGAAUACGUAACGCUGAAUUUUAUUUAGCACUCGAAUGUCCAAACAUCUUGAAUUAGUAAGCUUUGCUUUUGCUUUUCGUUAUCUAUGCUUCUGUCCAAAAAUCAUUUCUCUACCGACAGUCGGCUCGAAGAGUACAUUAAGUGUACUCUAAAAUUAACAAAAUUUUCCGUUAAAUUAACGCGGAGACUUUUAUUAAUUAAGAAAUUAUGCAGCGGUUCAUAACAUUCGUUGUUGGAGGAAUUGUAGGUUUUCUCGUUGCCAAGAACACUCGCUGAGAAAACAUGGCGUAUGUUAUCUGCUUUGGGAUGGGGAUGGUUUUUGGGAUGUUCGUUUGCCGACGUUGCGAGCCCUGAUUCGACUAUGAAGUAAUGACCCCUUUAAAAGCGUAGCAUUUUACAUUAUUCAAGAUCUCAAGGGAAUUUCUAUUUAAUAUGGAUAGAGAAUAAACAAGCUGCAACACUU